AACGAACGCUGGCGGCGUGCCUAACACAUGCAAGUCGUGCGAGAAAGUUCCUUCGGGAGCGAGUAAAGCGGCGCACGGGUGAGUAACACGUAGGUAACCUGCCCCCCAGUCUGGAACAACUAGAGGAAACUCUAGCUAAUGCCGGAUGAGACCACGAUCCCUUCGGGGGUUGCGGCCAAAGAUGGCCUCUACUUGUAAGCUAUCGCUGAGGGAUGGGCCUGCGGGCCAUUAGCUUGUGGUGAGGUAACGGCUCACCAAGGCUGUGAUGGCUAGCUGGUCUGAGAGGAUGACCAGCCACACUGGGACUGAGACACGGCCCAGACUCCUACGGAGGCAGCAGUGGGAAUAUUGCGCAAUGGGCGAAAGCCUGACGCAGCGACGCCGCGUGGGUGAUGAAGGCC
This 401-nucleotide ribosomal RNA is filed under the name uncultured bacterium. RNAcentral describes it as "bacterial SSU rRNA". It matches the Rfam family "Bacterial small subunit ribosomal RNA", at positions 29 to 416 of the family's 1533-position model. The record is from RNAcentral.